UACGUAGGUGGCAAGCGUUGUCCGGAUUUACUGGGUGUAAAGGGCGUGUAGCCGGGCUGACAAGUCAGAUGUGAGAUCCGGGGGCUCAACCCCCGAACUGCAUUUGAAACUGUUGGUCUUGAGUAUCGGAGAGGCAGGCGGAAUUCCUAGUGUAGCGGUGAAAUGCGUAGAUAUUAGGAGGAACACCAGUGGCGAAGGCGACUUUCUGGACAGUAACUGACGUUGAGGCACGAAAGUGUGGGGAGCAAACAGG
Molecule: ribosomal RNA, 253 nt
Filed under: uncultured bacterium
Lineage: Bacteria
Description: partial 16S ribosomal RNA
Rfam family: Bacterial small subunit ribosomal RNA
Source: RNAcentral